CAAACUCAGCUGCUGUUCAUUUGGUUCUGCUUUCCUUUAUGCUUUAGGAUGGCAGUGGAUAUGACUCAUGUCAGUGGAUAUGUCUAUCUGAAUCCAGAUGACCUGUGGAGAAAUGCUGCAGAAGAAGGGAAAUGGAUUGUUGCCUAACUGGAUUAAAGCAUCUCCUGCUUUAUGGACAGACUCUGAUAUGCAGUGAAACAUGGUCUGGAGGCAAUUUUGUUUCAUACCAAUGCAAAGCGCAACCUCAAUUGUUAAAAGGCACACACUUGUGCUGGACUUGGGAACAGUGGCUGUAGAGAUUAUUACCAGUCCAAUUACCAGCUCUGGUAGAAGCUACUGCCUGGGAUGAUCAAAUAUUAUCUUCAUUUGAAAUCAAAUUUUAUCUGCUUCCAGACUGAGACUGUUCAUGAAGCAGAAAAACAAUACCAAAGCAAAACCUGACUAAACAAAACAAGUAUCAACUUCAAAAACAAUGAUUUCUUGGAGCAGCUACAAUGCCUGGAAGAGGGUCUCCAUGUAGUUUGGCUACAGAAUGCACACAGCAGUAGAUACGCUUGACGUUAUCUGUAGGAGGAUAAAAGCCCACACAGCAGCUACUCUGUACUGGACAAAUUUGAAGCUAUUGGGAACUGUUUCAGUCCUUUCAAAAUGUUACCACAUGCACAUCAGAGGCUGCGGUACUUUCUGGCCUAAUUUAAUCACUGCUAUGUGGAAGAUAAUCUUUCAGACUAUCACACAGCGUAGGAUUUGGGUCUGGCACCCUUCAGUUUUGAACUUCAGUUGUCCAAGACAGCAUCUCUUACAGAAACUAAAUCCAAAUAUAAAGCUGAUCAUCACAAUUCGAAACCCAAAAAUGUGCAGAAAUGAAAAAAAUAAAGCAAGAAUGUCAUUGCUUAAUAUUAAACCGUCUGUUGUUCAAGAUUUUGACAGUGGGACAGAGACUUUUUCCUUUUCUGAAGAUAAUAUAUCAGGGACAGUACUCUUAAAUAGUUUAAUGAGGUAUGUAUCUUAUGAUUUUCCGCGAUUCUCUCAUCUUUUCCCACUAAACAGAAAUCUGCAGUUACAGCAAAUAAAGCAUUCAGUGAAGAAAAAUAAAGCCGUAUUAGCUAGCAAGUGUUGAAUAAUACGUGUUCAAAUCCAAGUUAGAAAUGUAUGUUGUCUUUUAAUGUGUUUAAAGCUUUUAACUUGUGGAGUGAUAUAUAAAAAAACAAUAAAUAAGUCUGCUGUCGUGGAAUGAGUGUAAUCACAGCCUUCAAAUGUGAUAUAUUUUUUAUGUAGAAAGCUGAAGUGUGACUAGAUUCAGAUGCCUGUGUGAUGGAUUGUUUAGAAAUGAAGUAGAUGUCUCUUCCAAGUAAUAAGCUCCACUCAGCUUCUUUUUAAGAUUCUUUGUUAAAAUAAACACAGAGGUUGUCCUCUACUCACCGCCAUGGUAGUUAAUUAGCUAACAGUCAUUCAAAAUGUUGUAGUUGUCAAUACAAUGCUUCUUGUGGAUGAAAACAACCUAAAGAAGGUUUAUAUUCUCCAAAGCUUUUUUCCCACAAUGUCAG
Molecule: long non-coding RNA, 1547 nt
Organism: Gallus gallus (chicken)
Lineage: Eukaryota; Metazoa; Chordata; Aves; Galliformes; Phasianidae
Source: Ensembl